GAUCCGAUAGCAUAAUUGGGUAAUGCACCUGCUGGCAAUGUCUCGAUACCUACGUAAAGCAGGAGAUCUCCGUUCGAUUCGGGGUCAGGUCA
Non-coding RNA from Mycena vulgaris, 92 nucleotides. The record is from the annotation of a GenBank genome assembly. NCBI's taxonomy places the organism in Eukaryota, Fungi, Basidiomycota, Agaricomycetes, Agaricales, Mycenaceae.